Molecule: ribosomal RNA, 206 nt
Filed under: uncultured bacterium
Lineage: Bacteria
Description: partial 16S ribosomal RNA
Rfam family: Bacterial small subunit ribosomal RNA
Source: RNAcentral
CGCGCAGGCGGUCGAUCAAGUCGCGUGUGAAAGCCCCCGGCUCAACUGGGGAGGGUCACGCGAUACUGAUCGACUCGAAGGCAGGAGAGGGUAGUGGAAUUCCCGGUGUAGUGGUGAAAUGCGUAGAUAUCGGGAGGAACACCAGUGGCGAAGGCGACUACCUGGCCUGUUCUUGACGCUGAGGCGCGAAAGCUAGGGAGCAAACG